RNAcentral lists this ribosomal RNA (428 nucleotides) under Pseudomonadota bacterium. RNAcentral's name for it is "Proteobacteria bacterium partial 16S ribosomal RNA". It matches the Rfam family "Bacterial small subunit ribosomal RNA", at positions 355 to 776 of the family's 1533-position model. The record is from RNAcentral. Lineage: Bacteria; Pseudomonadati; Pseudomonadota.
UGGGGAAUAUUGGACAAUGGGCGAAAGCCUGAUCCAGCCAUGCCGCGUGUGUGAAGAAGGUCUUCGGAUUGUAAAGCACUUUAAGUUGGGAGGAAGGGCAGUAAGCGAAUACCUUGCUGUUUUGACGUUACCGACAGAAUAAGCACCGGCUAACUCUGUGCCAGCAGCCGCGGUAAUACAGAGGGUGCAAGCGUUAAUCGGAAUUACUGGGCGUAAAGCGCGCGUAGGUGGUUCGUUAAGUUGAAUGUGAAAGCCCCGGGCUCAACCUGGGAACUGCAUCCAAAACUGGCGAGCUAGAGUAGGGCAGAGGGUGUGGAAUUUCCUGUGUAGCGGUGAAAUGCGUAGAUAUAGGAAGGAACACCAGUGGCGAAGGCGACCACCUGGGCUCAUACUGACACUGAGGUGCGAAAGCGUGGGGAGCAAACAGG